UACGAAGGGGGGCUAGCGUUGUUCGGAAUUACUGGGCGUAAAGCGCACGUAGGCGGAUAUUUAAGUCAGGGGUGAAAUCCCAGAGCUCAACUCUGGAACUGCCUUUGAUACUGGGUAUCUUGAGUAUGGAAGAAGUAAGUGGAAUUGCGAGUGUAGAGGUGAAAUUCGUAGAUAUUCGCAGGAACACCAGUGGCGAAGGCGGCUUACUGGUCCAUAACUGACGCUGAGGUG
RNAcentral lists this ribosomal RNA (231 nucleotides) under uncultured bacterium. RNAcentral describes it as "partial 16S ribosomal RNA". It matches the Rfam family "Bacterial small subunit ribosomal RNA", at positions 524 to 753 of the family's 1533-position model. The record is from RNAcentral.